CAUGCAGUCGACGAGAAGUUUCCUUCGGGAAAUUAGUAAAGUGGCGCAAGGGUGAGUAUCACGUGAAUAAUCUGCCCUCGAGAUCGGGAUAACAUGGUGAAAACUAUGCUAAUACCGGAUAAGACCACGUUUCAUAAGAAAUGCGGUAAAAGGAGUCUCAAUCUUCACUCGAGGAUGAGUUCGCGCAACAUUAGCUUGUUGGUGAGAUAAAAGCUCACCAAGGCUACGAUGUUUAGCCGGCCUGAGAGGGUGAACGGCCACACUGGAACUGAGACACGGUCCAGACUCCUACGGGAGGCAGCAGUGGGGAAUAUUGCGCAAUGGGCGAAAGCCUGACGCAGCAACGCCGUGUGAGCGAUGAAGGCUUUAGAGUCGUAAAGCUCUGUCAAAUGGGAAGAAUUUUGACGGUACCAUUAGAGGAAGCCCCGGCUAACUCCGUGCCAGCAGCCGCGGUAAUACGGAGGGGGCAAGCGUUGUUCGGAAUUAUUGGGCGUAAAGCGUAUGUAGGCGGCUAAGUAAGUCAGGCGUGCAAGCCCGUGGCUCAACCACGGAAUUGCGUUUGAUACUGUUUAGCUUGAGUGCAGGAGAGGAAAGCGGAAUUCCCAGUGUAGCGGUGAAAUGCAUUGAUAUUGGGAGGAACAUCUGUGGCGAAGGCGGCUUUCUGGUCUGUUACUGACGCUGAGAUACGAAAGCCAGGGUAGCGAACGGGAUUAGAUACCCCGGUAGUCCUGGCUGUAAACGAUGGGCACUAGGUGCAGGAGGUAUCGAUCCCCUCUGUGCCGUAGCUAACGCGUUAAGUGCCCCGCCU
RNAcentral lists this ribosomal RNA (808 nucleotides) under Nitrospina sp. SCGC AAA003-E20. RNAcentral describes it as "SSU rRNA". It matches the Rfam family "Bacterial small subunit ribosomal RNA", at positions 54 to 874 of the family's 1533-position model. The record is from RNAcentral. Lineage: Bacteria; Pseudomonadati; Nitrospinota; Nitrospinia; Nitrospinales; Nitrospinaceae.